GAUGAACGCUGGCGGCGUGCCUAAUACAUGCAAGUCGAGCGAACAGACGAGGAGCUUGCUCCUCUGACGUUAGCGGCGGACGGGUGAGUCACACGUGGAUAACCUACCUAUAAGACUGGGAUAACUUCGGGAAACCGGAGCUACUACCGGAUAAUAUAUUGAACCGCAUGGUUCAAUAGUGAAAGACGGUUUUGCUGUCACUUAUAGAUGGAUCCGCGCCGCAUUAGCUAGUUGGUAAGGUAACGGCUUACCAAGGCAACGAUGCGUAGCCGACCUGAGAGGGUGAUCGGCCACACUGGAACUGAGACACGGUCCAGACUCCUACGGGAGGCAGCAGUAGGGAAUCUUCCGCAAUGGGCGAAAGCCUGACGGAGCAACGCCGCGUGAGUGAUGAAGGUCUUCGGAUCGUAAAACUCUGUUAUUAGGGAAGAACAAAUGUGUAAGUAACUAUGCACGUCUUGACGGUACCUAAUCAGAAAGCCACGGCUAACUACGUG
Molecule: ribosomal RNA, 497 nt
Filed under: uncultured bacterium
Lineage: Bacteria
Description: partial 16S ribosomal RNA
Rfam family: Bacterial small subunit ribosomal RNA
Source: RNAcentral